GGGGCUGUGGCUCAGUGGAAGAGCCUCUGCUUUGCAUACGCAAGGUCCCAGGUUUGAUCCCCAGCAUCUCCA
Molecule: transfer RNA, 72 nt
Filed under: Sphaerodactylus townsendi
Lineage: Eukaryota; Metazoa; Chordata; Lepidosauria; Squamata; Sphaerodactylidae
Description: tRNA-Ala
Rfam family: tRNA
About the family: Transfer RNA (tRNA) molecules are approximately 80 nucleotides in length. Their secondary structure includes four short double-helical elements and three loops (D, anti-codon, and T loops).
Source: RNAcentral